AGAGGCCCGCCGCGGUAACGACGGGUAACGGGGAAUCAGGGUUCGAUUCCGGAGAGGGAGCCCGAGAAACGGCUACCACUUCCAAGGAAGGCAGCAGGCGCGCAACUUACCCUAAUCUCGAUUCGAGGAGGUAGUGACAAGAAAUACCGAUGCGGGACCCUACGGGUGCCGCGUUCGGAAUGAGUACGAUUCGAACCACCUAACGAGGAACGAUCGGAGGGCAAGUCUGGUGCCAGCAGCCGCGGUAAUUCCAGCUCCAAUAGCGUACGUUAAAGUUGCUGCAGUUAAAAAGCUCGUAGUUGAACGUUCGGGUUCCGCGGGACGGGGCCGCCCCGCGAGGGACGGCGCCGCCCCGGGGCUCGUGAUAUCUCAUCUCGCCGCCCGUCGCGAGGCGGACGGAGGGAUGGAUGAGGUUACCUGGAAAAAAUCGGGGCGAUCUAGGCGGGCGAACCUCGCCAACGAACGAUCGGACAUGGGAU
Molecule: ribosomal RNA, 479 nt
Filed under: uncultured eukaryote
Lineage: Eukaryota
Description: bacterial SSU rRNA
Rfam family: Eukaryotic small subunit ribosomal RNA
Source: RNAcentral